This 492-nucleotide ribosomal RNA is filed under the name uncultured bacterium. Its description in RNAcentral is "partial 16S ribosomal RNA". It matches the Rfam family "Bacterial small subunit ribosomal RNA", at positions 29 to 507 of the family's 1533-position model. The record is from RNAcentral.
AGUGAACGCUGGCGGUAGGCCUAACACAUGCAAGUCGAACGGCAGCACAGUAAGAGCUUGCUCUUACGGAUUGCGAGCGGGGGACGGGUCAGGAAUAUAACCGAAUCUAUUCUUUCGUGUGGCAUCACGUAGGUGAACUUACGCUACUACCGCAUCAGACCUACGAUUGAAAGCGGCGGAACUUCCGACCUUGCGCGAUUGUACGAGCCGUUGUCGGAUUUGUUAGUCGGCGGGGUAAAGACCCACCAAGGCGACGAUCCGUAGAUGGUCGGAGAGAAUGGUCAGCCACACUGGAACUGAAGCACGGUCCAGACUCCUGCGGUAGGCACCAGUGGGGAAUAUUGGACAGUGGGCGCAAGCCUGAUCCAACCAUACCGCGUGGGUGAAGAAGGCCUUCGGGUUGUAAAGCCCUUUUGUUGGGUGUGAACGGCAGCAGGUUAAUACCCCGCUGUUCUGACGGUACCCGAUGAAUAAGCACCGGCUAACUACGUG